Molecule: ribosomal RNA, 292 nt
Filed under: uncultured prokaryote
Description: partial 16S ribosomal RNA
Rfam family: Bacterial small subunit ribosomal RNA
Source: RNAcentral
GUGUCAGCAGCCGCGGUAAUACGUAGGGUGCGAGCGUUGUCCGGAAUUAUUGGGCGUAAAGAGCUUGUAGGCGGUUUGUCGCGUCUGCCGUGAAAAUUCAGCGCUUAACGCUGGACGUGCGGUGGGUACGGGCAGGCUAGAGUGUGGUAGGGGAGACUGGAAUUCCUGGUGUAGCGGUGAAAUGCGCAGAUAUCAGGAGGAACACCGAUGGCGAAGGCAGGUCUCUGGGCCAUAACUGACGCUGAGAAGCGAAAGCAUGGGGAGCGAACAGGAUUAGAAACCCCAGUAGUCC